CAGAAACAGUUCGUUUCUUUCGUUUCUCUUCCAUCCUAUUUUCCUUUUUACAUACGAAAGUAUUAAUGAUUAAUUCAACUUGAUUUUGAUUUCAUCUUUUCCCCUAAAUCGAGUUUCGAACAACCUAAGUGGUAUAAUUUUGAUUAGGGUUCAUUUAUUUCAUUUUCUCCCCCAAACUUAUACUAGGGAUGCACCAAAUCCAAUUGAUGAUUUUGAUGACCACCCAAAUCGAGCUCCAAUUCCAGUUCAGUUUUUUAUCACCAUUAUUAUCAGGGUGAACCAGAAACAAAGAUGGAUACAUCCCAAAGUCGUUUUGCCACUCGAAGAACAACAAGCUACUAAAAGAGAAAGGUGUCGUGUUGGCAAAAUGAGGUGUCAGAUGAGGUGAAGUUGCCACAAAAGAGCGUAGGAGAAAUUAGUAGAGAGCUAGGCAGUCUAGGCAGCAAAAUGUGGAAAACCGAAAUCAUGAAAGACCAAGAUGAGUCACGUGGAGAAUACUCAAUCUAAUCAUAGAUAGCAGAAGAAGAAGGUGAACAUGAUGAACAUCAUUGCCUAACAGGAGGUUUCAUCAAUCUGCAAGGAAUUUUUUCGAGUUACAGAGUUAAAGUUUUGAUGGUAUUGUUGUGUGUCAUACUUUUGUAAAAAUAGAAGAUACGUUCAAGAAAGCUAGCGUUAUGUAUACUUUUGCGAAUAGAAAAUAUGUACGUACGUAAAAGCUAGCGUUUGCCGACGUGCACG
Molecule: long non-coding RNA, 738 nt
Organism: Papaver somniferum (opium poppy)
Lineage: Eukaryota; Viridiplantae; Streptophyta; Magnoliopsida; Ranunculales; Papaveraceae
Exons: 3
Source: RefSeq, a predicted model, not a curated record